RNAcentral lists this ribosomal RNA (253 nucleotides) under uncultured bacterium. RNAcentral's name for it is "partial 16S ribosomal RNA". It matches the Rfam family "Bacterial small subunit ribosomal RNA", at positions 524 to 776 of the family's 1533-position model. The record is from RNAcentral.
GACGGAGGGUGCAAGCGUUGCUCGGAAUCACUGGGCGUAAAGGGUGCGUAGGCGGUCUCGCAAGUCUGGCGUGAAAGCCCAAGGCUCAGCCUUGGAAGUGCGCUCGAAACGGCGAGGCUGGAGUGCCGGAGGGGAGAGUGGAAUUCCCGGUGUAGCGGUGAAAUGCGUAGAGAUCGGGAGGAACACCAGAGGCGAAGGCGGCCUACUGGGCUGCACCUGACGCUGAGCCGCGAAAGCCAGGGGAGCGAACGGG